CCUACGGGAGGCAGCAGUGAGGAAUAUUGGUCAAUGGACGAGAGUCUGAACCAGCCAAGUAGCGUGAAGGAUGACUGCCCUAUGGGUUGUAAACUUCUUUUAUAUGGGAAUAAAAUGUUCCACGUGUGGGAUUUUGUAUGUACCAUAUGAAUAAGGAUCGGCUAACUCCGUGCCAGCAGCCGCGGUAAUACGGGGGAUCCGAGCGUUAUCCGGAUUUAUUGGGUUUAAAGGGAGCGUAGGUGGAUUGUUAAGUCAGUUGUGAAAGUUUGCGGCUCAACCGUAAAAUUGCAGUUGAAACUGGCAGUCUUGAGUACAGUAGAGGUGGGCGGAAUUCGUGGUGGAGCGGUGAAAUGCUUAGAUAGCACGAAGAACGCCGAUUGCGAAGGCAGUUCACUGGACUGCAACUGACACUGAGGUUCGAAAGUGUGGGUAUCAAACAGGAGUAGAUACCCCAGUAGUC
RNAcentral lists this ribosomal RNA (460 nucleotides) under uncultured bacterium. RNAcentral's name for it is "partial 16S ribosomal RNA". It matches the Rfam family "Bacterial small subunit ribosomal RNA", at positions 338 to 795 of the family's 1533-position model. The record is from RNAcentral.